UGAGUACGAGAUGCUACGGCAUCGAAGCAGUCUAUGUCAUACUUCCAAGAAAAGCUUGCAAUGUCAUAAACAAAUAAUGCCUGUACCAUAACCGACACAGGUGGGUAAGUAGAGUAUACUAAGGGGCGCGAGAUAACUCUCUCUAAGGAACUCGGCAAAAUGACUCCGUAACUUCGGGAGAAGGAGUGCCUUAUUUUUAUAAGGUUGCAAUAACAAGAUCCAAGCAACUGUUUACCAAAAACACAGGUCUCCACUAAGUCGUAAGACGAUGUAUGGGGGCUGACGCCUGCCCAGUGCCAGAAGGUUAAAGAAGUUGGUUAGCAUUAGCGAAGCUGAUAACUGAAGCCCUGGUGAACGGCGGCCGUAACGAUAACGGUCCUAAGGUAGCGAAAUUCCUUGUCGGGUAAGUUCCGACCCGCACGAGAGGCGUAAUGAUUUGGAUACUGUCUCGGAGAGGGGCUCGGUGAAAUAGACUUGUCUGUGAAGAUGCGGACUACCUGCACCUGGACAGAAAGACCCUAUGAAGCUUUACCGUAACUUGAGAUUGAAAUUGGACUUUAUCUGCGCAGUAUAGGUGGGAGACGUUGAAAAUAUUCUUGCGGGAAUAUUGGAGUCAUCAGUGAGAUACCACUCUUAUAAUGUUAGAUUUCUAACUUUGUAUCAUUAUCUGGUCAAAGAACAGUUUCAGGCGGGCAGUUUGACUGGGGCGGUCGCCUCCCAAACGGUAACGGAGGCGCACAAAGGUUUCCUCUGAACGUGUAGAAAUCGUAUCUAGAGUGUAAAGGCAUAAGGAAGCUUGACUGUGAGACCUACAAGUCGAGCAGGGACGAAAGUCGGUCUUAGUGAUCUGACGGUGCUGAGUGGAAAGGCCAUCACUCAACGGAUAAAAGUUACUCUAAGGAUAACAGGCUGAUCUCCCCCAAGAGUUCACAUCGACGGGGAGGUUUGGCACCUCGAUGUCGGCUCAUCGCAUCCUGGGGCGGUAGUACGUCCCAAGGGUUGGGCUGUUCGCCCAUGAAAGCGGUACGCGAGCUGGGUUCAGAACGUCGUGAGACAGUUCGGUCCAUAUCCGGUGUAGGCGUUAGAAUAUUGAGAGGAGCCUUCUUUAGUACGAGAGGACCGAGUAGGACAUACCUCUGGUGUACCAGUUAUCGUGCCAACGGUAAACGCUGGGUAGCCAUGUAUGGAGAGGAUAACCGCUGAAAGCAUCUAAGUGGGAAGCCCACCUCAAGAUAAGUAUUCCC
This 1244-nucleotide ribosomal RNA is filed under the name metagenome. RNAcentral describes it as "bacterial LSU rRNA". It matches the Rfam family "Bacterial large subunit ribosomal RNA", at positions 1564 to 2815 of the family's 2925-position model. The record is from RNAcentral.